This 732-nucleotide ribosomal RNA is filed under the name uncultured Leptotrichia sp. RNAcentral describes it as "bacterial SSU rRNA". It matches the Rfam family "Bacterial small subunit ribosomal RNA", at positions 28 to 776 of the family's 1533-position model. The record is from RNAcentral. Lineage: Bacteria; Fusobacteriati; Fusobacteriota; Fusobacteriia; Fusobacteriales; Leptotrichiaceae.
GAUGAACGCUGACAGAAUGCUUAACACAUGCAAGUCUUUGGCGAAUCUGUGCUUGCACAGGCUAGCCAAGGCGGACGGGUGAGUAACGCGUAAAGAACUUGCCCUGCAGACAGGGAUAACAGACGGAAACGACUGAUAACACCUGAUACAAUUGCCGGCACGCAUGUGCCUGGCAAUGAAAAGAGAUGCUGCGGGGGAGCUUUGCGUCCUAUUAGCUUGUUGGUGAGGUAACGGCUCACCAAGGCGAUGAUAGGUAGCCGGCCUGAGAGGGUGAACGGCCACAAGGGGACUGAGAUACGGCCCUUACUCCUACGGGAGGCAGCAGUGGGGAAUAUUGGACAAUGGGGGCAACCCUGAUCCAGCAAUUCUGUGUGCACGAAGAAGGUUUUCGGAUUGUAAAGUGCUUUCAGCAGGGAAGAAGAAAGUGACGGUACCUGCAGAAGAAGCGACGGCUAAAUACGUGCCAGCAGCCGCGGUAAUACGUAUGUCGCAAGCGUUAUCCGGAAUUAUUGGGCAUAAAGGGCAUCUAGGCGGCCAGACAAGUCUGGGGUGAAAACUUGCGGCUCAACCGCAAGCCUGCCCUGGAAACUGUUUGGCUAGAGUGCUGGAGAGGUGGACGGAACUGCACGAGUAGAGGUGAAAUUCGUAGAUAUGUGCAGGAAUGCCGAUGAUGAAGAUAGUUCACUGGACGGCAACUGACGCUGAAGUGCGAAAGCUAGGGGAGCGAACAGG